Molecule: non-coding RNA, 412 nt
Organism: Biomphalaria pfeifferi
Lineage: Eukaryota; Metazoa; Mollusca; Gastropoda; Planorbidae
Source: the annotation of a GenBank genome assembly
UUUUUUUUUUUUUUUUACAUUUAACAAAAAUAUGCAUUGGUGCUUUGUGAAAUUUUUUGUAGAAAUGAUAAAAUCAAAAACUGAAAUCUUGUGUUAAAUAUUUAAAUAUUCUAUUAAUUCUUAGUGUUUCACUUGUUAAUUCCUGAUUACAUUCUGUUGAUGCAAAUAUACUUAAAUUUUACAGAACACUUUAACUAUUCAAUAAAUGUAGUUAUAUUUUAUAGAAAUGCAAAGUUUUAUGUGCCAGGUUUUCAUUUCCUAUUUGUGUGUUUACGAAAUAGUUUGUUUCAGAUUUAUAACAUUAUGUUAUAGUUAUGUUAUGAAGUCAUUAUGAUUAUUUAUAUGUUGCAGUACAAAUGUAAACAUCCUGUCUUCUUGUAUAUGUGAUUAGUAUAUACCUAUCUUGUAUAUA